UUGUGGUCAAGAAGUCUGACGUGG
This 24-nucleotide non-coding RNA is filed under the name Cricetulus griseus (Chinese hamster). Lineage: Eukaryota; Metazoa; Chordata; Mammalia; Rodentia; Cricetidae. The record is from RNAcentral.